Molecule: ribosomal RNA, 549 nt
Filed under: uncultured bacterium
Lineage: Bacteria
Description: bacterial SSU rRNA
Rfam family: Bacterial small subunit ribosomal RNA
Source: RNAcentral
UGGGGAAUUUUGGACAAUGGGCGCAAGCCUGAUCCAGCCAUGCCGCGUGUCUGAAGAAGGCCUUCGGGUUGUAAAGGACUUUUGUCAGGGAAGAAANGGAUAGGGUUAAUACCCCUGUCUGAUGACGGUACCUGAAGAAUAAGCACCGGCUAACUACGUGCCAGCAGCCGCGGUAAUACGUAGGGUGCGAGCGUUAAUCGGAAUUACUGGGCGUAAAGCGGGCGCAGACGGUUACUUAAGCAGGAUGUGAAAUCCCCGGGCUCAACCUGGGAACUGCGUUCUGAACUGGGUGACUAGAGUGUGUCAGAGGGAGGUAGAAUUCCACGUGUAGCAGUGAAAUGCGUAGAGAUGUGGAGGAAUACCGAUGGCGAAGGCAGCCUCCUGGGAUAGCACCGACGUUCAUGCCCGAAAGCGUGGGUAGCAAACAGGAUUAGAUACCCUGGUAGUCCACGCCCUAAACGAUGUCGAUUAGCUGUUGGGCAGCUUGACUGCUUAGUAGCGAAGCUAACGCGUGAAAUCGACCGCCUGGGGAGUACGGUCGCAAGAUUA